AUUGAACGCUGGCGGCAGGCCUAACACAUGCAAGUCGAGCGGAUGAAGGGAGCUUGCUCCUGGAUUCAGCGGCGGACGGGUGAGUAAUGCCUAGGAAUCUGCCUGGUAGUGGGGGAUAACGUCCGGAAACGGGCGCUAAUACCGCAUACGUCCUGAGGGAGAAAGUGGGGGAUCUUCGGACCUCACGCUAUCAGAUGAGCCUAGGUCGGAUUAGCUAGUUGGUGGGGUAAAGGCCUACCAAGGCGACGAUCCGUAACUGGUCUGAGAGGAUGAUCAGUCACACUGGAACUGAGACACGGUCCAGACUCCUACGGGAGGCAGCAGUGGGGAAUGGUGGACAAUGGGCGAAAGCCUGAUCCAGCCAUGCCGCGUGUGUGAAGAAGGUCUUCGGAUUGUAAAGCACUUUAAGUUGGGAGGAAGGGCAGUAAGUUAAUACCUUGCUGUUUUGACGUUACCAACAGAAUAAGCACCGGCUAACUUCGUG
RNAcentral lists this ribosomal RNA (484 nucleotides) under uncultured bacterium. Its description in RNAcentral is "partial 16S ribosomal RNA". It matches the Rfam family "Bacterial small subunit ribosomal RNA", at positions 30 to 507 of the family's 1533-position model. The record is from RNAcentral.